GAGGUCACACCUGUUCCCAUGCCGAACACAGAAGUUAAGCUCUUGAACGCCGAUGGUAGUUGGGACUUUGUCCCUGUGAGAGUAGGACGUUGCCAGGC
This 98-nucleotide ribosomal RNA is filed under the name Priestia endophytica. Lineage: Bacteria; Bacillati; Bacillota; Bacilli; Caryophanales; Bacillaceae. The record is from RNAcentral.